This 30-nucleotide non-coding RNA is filed under the name Arabidopsis thaliana (thale cress). Lineage: Eukaryota; Viridiplantae; Streptophyta; Magnoliopsida; Brassicales; Brassicaceae. RNAcentral also lists the same sequence under 1 other name. The record is from RNAcentral.
ACUGGCGAUGCGGGAUGAACCGGAAGCCGG